RNAcentral lists this ribosomal RNA (908 nucleotides) under uncultured marine bacterium. Its description in RNAcentral is "bacterial SSU rRNA". It matches the Rfam family "Bacterial small subunit ribosomal RNA", at positions 56 to 1010 of the family's 1533-position model. The record is from RNAcentral.
UGCAAGUCGAACGAAGUAGCAAUACUUAGUGGCAGACGGGUGAGUAACAUGUAGGUAUCUGCCCUUUGGCCUGGAAUAACACGAGGAAACUUGUGCUAAUACCGGAUAAGUCUUUACGGAGAAAGCUUUAUGCACCAUUGGAUGAGCCUGCACUUGAUUAGUUUGUUGGUGGGGUAAUGGCCUACCAAGACUGUGAUCAAUAGCUGAUUUGAGAGGAUGAUCAGCCACAUUGGGACUGAGACACGGCCCAAACUCCUACGGGAGGCAGCAGUGGGGAAUCUUGCACAAUGGAGGAAACUCUGAUGCAGCGAUGCCGCGUGAGUGAAGAAGGCCCUUGGGUUGUAAAGCUCUUUCGUCGGGGAAGAAAAUGACUGUACCCGAAUAAGAAGGUCCGGCUAACUUCGUGCCAGCAGCCGCGGUAAUACGAAGGGACCUAGCGUAGUUCGGAAUUACUGGGCUUAAAGAGUUCGUAGGUGGUUGAAAAAGUUAGUGGUGAAAUCCCAGAGCUUAACUCUGGAACUGCCAUUAAAACUUUUCAGCUAGAGUAUGAUAGAGGAAAGCAGAAUUUCUAGUGUAGAGGUGAAAUUCGUAGAUAUUAGAAAGAAUACCAAUUGCGAAGGCAGCUUUCUGGAUCAUUACUGACACUGAGGAACGAAAGCAUGGGUAGCGAAGAGGAUUAGAUACCCUCGUAGUCCAUGCCGUAAACGAUGUGUGUUAGACGUUGGAAAUUUAUUUUCAGUGUCGCAGGGAAACCGAUAAACACACCGCCUGGGGAGUACGACCGCAAGGUUAAAACUCAAAUGAAUUGACGGGGACCCGCACAAGUAGUGGAGCAUGUGGUUUAAUUCGAAGAUACGCGCAGAACCUUACCAACACUUGACAUGUUCGUCGCGACUCUAAGAGAUUAG